AAGAAAUUUUUGCCUUACCCCUCAGAAAAAACGCAAAGAUCAAAGGAUGCCGAUGCACACAACCCCUCAGAAAUGGCUUUUUCAAACCCCCUCAGAAAUUCUCGUCCAUAGGGGGGUGUGUAUAUUAAAUGGAAUGGCCCUAGCCUUAACUGCAGUUAAAAAGUAAUUAAAGUUAACUAUGCUUUAGGGUAUAGUUAACUGUCCAAAACGUAGUUAAAAAUGGCGUUUGUAUAGGAGUGAACAACAUUUUUCAGUAAAACAACAAUGAAAAGCAACGGUUACCUGAGAUUUUCAAUCGCUAUUUUCCCUGUCAAUGUUUCCUGAUAAUAUAAACUCUUCAAACGCUAUCGCUUUGGUGUUUUUACGAAAACAGAACAUAUUUUUGCACAGGACGAUUUCUCGAAGACGAAGUAUGGUCCAUUACACCAAGAAACACUGAUAUAUAAUUGCCAAACAGCUAGA
Paramuricea clavata is the source of this 462-nucleotide non-coding RNA. Lineage: Eukaryota; Metazoa; Cnidaria; Anthozoa; Malacalcyonacea; Plexauridae. The record is from the annotation of a GenBank genome assembly.